This 1968-nucleotide ribosomal RNA is filed under the name Triticum aestivum (bread wheat). Its description in RNAcentral is "partial small subunit ribosomal RNA". The record is from RNAcentral. Lineage: Eukaryota; Viridiplantae; Streptophyta; Magnoliopsida; Poales; Poaceae.
AUGGAGCAGGCCAUGCUCUACCUCCGCCUGGCUGGUGCCGACCUCGCCGCCGCUGUCCAGCUCGGCGAGAACCAGCAGUUCGCUCCGGAGGACCGUCCCGCCACUGGUUCCCCUGAUCUCUGCUGCGGCAGGACCCAAUUUGCUCUCAAAGUAGCCGCAUUCAUAUCAGGGCACCCCGUGCCAGACGAUCUGGUGCGGCUCGCAAAGUUUCUUGUCCCAUUAAAAGAUCACACUGUUCUCGCUGCUGUGCUGAAGAAGGGGGUCUCUCUCAGUGUCAGCGACAUCAAUGGCAUCCUAAAUUUCCUUCGGUUGCAACACUAUGCAGCCUCCCCUGCCGUCCAAGUCACAUUCCAAAGCCGCCCUUAUUCCACUGGUAUGGAUUUAUCUGGACUGGAAUUAGGAGGCCUGUUACUAGAUUCAGAUAAGCGCCCUGGCCACUACUUCUGUCCAUUGGGUGAAAACUAUGUCGCCGACGUAGUUGUCUCACGCUCUGAUGGACAUAUUUCGAGCAUCUGUGACUUGAGGGCUCCUGAAACGAUGAAGAAAAUGUUACUGGACUCUUUGAAUGCUGCUGCCACCACUAUUGUCAAGUACACUCCUCAACACAUAGGAAGGAAUCUUAUUGCUGCACCUUCCACCACUGCGUGCCAGUGUGAGCACACCAGGUAUCUGAAGAUGUGCCUCACCGAUACCAUCCACGCUCUUUAUAUCAAGGCAGUGUCUUUGCUGCCGCACAAUGCGCUCCACAAGCAUCUCCGUGGUAUCCUUGUUGCUGGGCAUUGCUAUGGCCCGUUGGACCCUGUGUCUAACAUAAUUCGCAAUGCCAUAUGGUACGACAGUGUAUACCCUCUGCUGGAGAUAGACACCGUAACUGAGCCGGACAUUCUUGACAGCCAAUCUAUGCUUCGCAUGGAGGCCCGCUCCCUUGAUAGCCUUCUGGCCAUGAUCUGCACAGCCAGUGGUUUUUCAGAGCACAUGGCCCUGGAAUACCUUUGCUACAAGCAAUGUGACCUAUCUGUGGUGUUACAAAGGGCAACCAAGGAGGUGUGCUAUAAAGCCUAUGUUGCUGCAGGCCAAGCUGGAAAGCACCCCUACCAUUUGGAGCUUGCAUCAUUUCUUACCUCCAUGCCACCCCAAGACACCCUGCUGACUGGUGAAGCAACUGGAAAAGGCUAUGUCAUUUCUGAUGCUGUUCUGGAGCAAGUGUACAAAAUAAUGGAAGGUCAAAGCCCAUCUACUGCACCAUCAGAUAUUCAACCUAGGCUAUGCCCACAGGCCUGGAUGAUGCUGGCAUCUAGGAAGGACGAAUUCGCGCAGAAGCAGAAGUUCCUUGGUCAAAUUUUAGAGCAAUUGCUGCUUGACUACUCGAAUCAGCAUCCUUGGGAACCUGUUCCGAGACUUGAUGUCAUAUGUGGUGUGAAGAAAGGCGACCACGGGCAUUCAAAAUUCUACCAUGUUAAUUUCUUGGUGUAUUAUGAUGAUGUUUCUUCCGCACGUAUGCUCUUCUUCGCUGAAGUUUGGGAGUCAAGCUUUCAGGCCAAACGAUCGGGACCUAACACAUCUGUGAGUUUGGUUACUCAACCAUGCACUAGAAAAAGUCGCCAGGUUGAAUCUGGUGUGCAGUUCGUCAAGGUUUAUAGUAAAUCUAGUCGAAAGCAAUCAAAAACUUCAUUUUGUUGCCCACUACCUCAUUACAGUCCAGAUCAUCCAUACCUUGGGCGUUGCGAUGUGUGUGAGCCUAUUUCAAGCAAAAUUGCGCACCCACCAUCUGGGAACCAUAUUGGUGCAAACUACAAGGGGCUUGGGGAACUCUUGGAAUAUCUGAAUGUGCGUCAUUAUAAUCCUUCUGCUGCGGAUGCCAUAACAGAGUCAGAUUUUGUGUACUUUGAUUGCCUUAGGGACGCCAAAAUUGCCGAAGUUCUCAGUGACAUGUGCUCUUUGGAGGAGAAGAAAUUGAUCAUCCGCUAG